Lycium ferocissimum is the source of this 715-nucleotide long non-coding RNA. RefSeq lists it as uncharacterized. The transcript has 4 exons. The record is from RefSeq and is a predicted model, not a curated record. Lineage: Eukaryota; Viridiplantae; Streptophyta; Magnoliopsida; Solanales; Solanaceae.
CCCCUUAUUUUCCCAUUGAUUAUAUUGUAAGAUGUAAGAAUAUAGGUAUAAAUGGCUCAAUAAUUACUAUUUCACUCUUUCAUAUUCCUUACGAUGAAAAAUGUAAGUUUCAACAUUUAUUACUCCAGUCUUUAUUAUGGCCUUGCAUGUUUUGCUACACCACCGUUAUUGUUAAUGUCAUAUAAGUAGUGUUUUCGUCCUUUUUAACGAUGGUAUCAUUUUCAGAAGCAAAUUAUCCUCCAGGCUGAUAAUAAGGUGGUUUUCCAGAUGAAGCCAUGAAGAGGUAACAGGCAUAUUCUAAAUCACUUGCCUUUUUUUAUGGGAGAAAGCGUGACACGCUCUGUGGUAUACUUCAAUGAUGAAUGCAUUUCUUUUAAGGACAUGUAGAAGAAUCUGCCAAAAUCGGGUGAAAUUUCUGAUUAUUAGAUUGUUUCUAUUUAUUGUCAAUUUUUAAAUAUAUCUUUCUUUGAUGUUCCAAUUCUUAUCCUUCAAACCCAGAUGAGAUUUCUGCUCAAUCUCAAACUUUUUCCCCUGAGAAUAUAAUCUGCCAGUCCUAAAGAAAGGAGCCAAAUGUUUACCAUACCUAUCCACCAUUAUUGGCAAUCAUUUUAACAAAAAAGAUUGUAAUUGGAUGUGUUAAAUAUACGUGACAGUAUAAGUUUUUAUAUAUUUUUAUUUGUAGAAGGCAUGUAAUUAAAAUAUGAGUUUGCUAAUA